UGAUGUCAGCUACCCUGGAUAUUCCG
This 26-nucleotide small RNA is filed under the name Bombyx mori (domestic silkworm). RNAcentral describes it as "ovarian small RNA-8375". Lineage: Eukaryota; Metazoa; Arthropoda; Insecta; Lepidoptera; Bombycidae. The record is from RNAcentral.